This 828-nucleotide long non-coding RNA is filed under the name Heterocephalus glaber (naked mole-rat). RNAcentral describes it as "lncRNA (ENSHGLG00000050944.1)". The record is from RNAcentral. Lineage: Eukaryota; Metazoa; Chordata; Mammalia; Rodentia; Bathyergidae.
GCCCUAGCCACCCGGAAGACCCUCCAGGAAGAGAUAUUCUCCCGAGUUCCAGCCUCCCUCUUACUAACCACCAGAGGGCAGGCAAACAAAGAAGGAUGAAUUCACUCACAAGCAGGCCUUGCCACGGAGCCUGAGGGCACUCGAGAAACCUGAAAAGAAUUAUCAAGACCCGAGGCAAAAAGGAUCGUGAGAGCCUAAGAGAGUGGCAGCAUGGAACCCCGGCCUCUCCUAGACCUCGGCAGCCAUGUGCUUCUGGGCUGGGACAGUCUUGGGCUGAAAGGAGGCUUGCACAAUCAUGACAACAACUUGCAAACCAGCAUCACUGCAGGGGAGCUGUACUCUUCUCUUGAGCUUGCUGUUCGCAGUCAACUGAGACUGAAGUUCACCUUUCCCGGGAGUGGCUGGUGGAAGGCAGCACCAUGGGUGGCAGGUUAAAAAGCCUCAGAAGGGAGUGUUUCCUUUCCACUGCCAGUGUCAGGUCCAGUGGAGUGACAUAUGCCUUUCACUGUAUCCCAAGAAGGAGGAAGAACUAUAAAAAGCCUUCAGAGGCUCCCGAGGAAACUUGAGGGCAGUAAAAGCGAAGACUACAAACUAAAGAAAAAUACACACAGCUGUGAGAAUGAAGCUCGCAUGCGGCAAUCCAGUCUCCAAGCGGAUGCACUGAAGAGGUGGUGCCUUGGGAGGAGCCCCAUUCUGCCCUCGUGAAUGAAUUAGGGCCCUUCGAAGAAGGCCCCGAGAGUGACCUCUCACCAUGUAGGGUGCACAGAGAGAGGUGCUGCUCUACGACCGGGAACGGAGUCUCACCAGACACCAACUCUCUUAGCACCG